Molecule: ribosomal RNA, 133 nt
Filed under: Verticillium albo-atrum
Lineage: Eukaryota; Fungi; Ascomycota; Sordariomycetes; Glomerellales; Plectosphaerellaceae
Also listed under: 3 other names
Description: partial 28S ribosomal RNA
Rfam family: Eukaryotic large subunit ribosomal RNA
Source: RNAcentral
ACGGUUGACCUCGGAUCAGGUAGGAAUACCCGCUGAACUUAAGCAUAUCAAUAAGCGGAGGAAAAGAAACCAACAGGGAUUGCCUUAGUAACGGCGAGUGAAGCGGCAACAGCUCAAAUUUGAAAUCUGGCUC